CCAUACAGCGCGUGUAAAACGCGAGAAUACCCCUCCACGUGCGAUCCCUCGUAAAACGGUACAUAAAAUAUUGCGACUUUUGCGAAAAUACCGUUUUUGCCACUACCGACCUCUCCUCGAACAACGCGCGAUUUCCGCAGAUCCGUCCGUCAGAUUUGCGAACGGAUUGCACCAGUGCGAUCAGCACGACGGAGACAACAAAGCUACGAUUUUGGUUCACCUCGAUCGACCACGGAUUCGCGACGAAAUCCAACCUUCUUCCAAUAGGAGGAAUAACACACAAAUACAUAUAAAACAUGUAUUUUUGGAUUUUCUCGAAAUCCGUGCGUCGAACUCAAAAUCCGUCAGUGCCACUAGUUCCAGAACAGCUGAACCGGUCGAAACGAGCUAUUGGACUGAUAUGAACGGAGUCUGAUACGCACCAGAAGCCAACUCUACUCCGUGGCUUCUCCGGAAAACCGGAGUUACUAUUCACUUAAGUGAAAACUAAUAAUCGCGUAACUUCUCCGUUUUAGCUCAUUUUCUCCUGAAACUUGACGAGUGCUUAUGUAAUUAAAUUACACACAUAAACAUCGUCAACAGAGAGUUUAGUUGCACUGUCAAAAAAUCUCAGUCCUUACAUCAUCCCCCCCUUAAAAGAAGUUUCGUCCUCGAAACUUGACCACGUACCCACCGUAAUCGAACUCUGACAUUGCCCCACCGACACGGUAACACCUUUGGAUACUGGUCAAUCACAAAUCUAGAAUUGGACAGAUCAACCUUAGAAAAGGGGAGAAUAGGACUGCGGUUCCACAAGAACAAGACGAGGGGAACGUACCAAACCAAAGUCUGCGGACCAUAACACACCGGGAUCAACACCAUCCUGUAACCUUGGUCCGAAAAGCCUCAACCGACUCGACCACGUCACUAAGUUCACGAGAAAGAAUCACGAGCCAACACCACCAAACCGGAGUCAAAAAAAUUUCGACUAGCCAACAAUAUCAACUUGCUCACCACGAGCGAAGACGAAACGUUCUCCUAAAACUCGAGUCGGUAGAAACAGAAUCUGAGACUACAGUCUCCCACUAACCGAUCACGCAACUGCCGAAGUCAAGUCCACAUCCACGGAAAGCCGCCUUUGACAUUCGACAGUCUUAGGUCCCACAACCUCACCUUUCACCUGACCGAAAAGGUCGAAGGCUGACAAAACUAAUUGAGCUUGACAAACCGCUUGCUCAAUUAGAACUGGUUCGACUAAACCAAUAAACUCGCCAUGCAAGUCCAAAACUUGGUGCACAGGAUUGCAAAUCGCACUAUACGAUACAAACCAUCGGUGAUGCUCAACACCUGUCUCUACGAGACCCUGUCGCUGCCGUCCUACAAGGGACCCUAGCGAUCGGUGUUUCGAGCAACACCAGAUAACUGUCUCAUUGAGAUCCUGGCGCACCUGUCACCAAUUAACCGGACAAGCAUACAAUUCUAAAGUCGCACAGUAGGCUGAAAUACAAUCCUUACACCAUAUCACCUACUGUGACAAUCAAAGCCAACAACUAGGCUCAAGUCACUCAACCAACAAUUUUGAACCUCAAGACAACAGACCGAAACUACUAACCAACAAACCUUUUUGCGGUGAUGAUAAAUCAACUGCGCAAACCUGCCAAGAGAAUACAAGGCCCCACUAUGUGGUCAAAGAUGACCGAUACCCAAUCAUCCUUACAAGACUAUUUCUCUAGCUUUCACACAAAACAGUCUAGAGAACACAUCGACCCAAUCCAUAAGUCCCAAAUGGGAAGAUGGUAUUUCGUUCCUCUUUCGACAGUAUAUUGUCUGCAGCCAAUAUACUUAUCAAAAGAAAAGCGAAAUAUCCGAAGAUCCACUACCAACAACCAGUUGGAAGUACAACGCGAUAAAGUAUCAAGCCACUUGAUACCUCUCUACUGAACCAGAAGUUCACAACCAAUACUAUCGAAACAUCAACUUUACAAGUCGACAUUCAAAAUUAGAACGACCCUGGAACAUCUUAAAUCUAGACCAACUACAACCAACCCACAACACACCAAUUUGGGUGUUAGAAUAACCGCAUACGAUGUAUGCCUUAACGAAAACAUGACACCAAAACUGUGUCAAUCCGAUUCUAGUAGGAAGAAAGAACGAGUUCAAGGUCAAAAGAUCCGAACCGCUGAUUCGAAUCAACAAUCAAGGAGGAUAGGUAGGCAUCACAACCCUACCCAAAAAAUCUGCGGAAGCAACACUAACAAUGCAGUCGCCUAAACGACCGCUACCAAACCCUGGGCUACACCCUAGUAGCCCCACUGAAGUCGCGACCGUAACUGGUCUAAGCACCGUCUCCGUGGAGACACUCGCAACAGCUCUCGUGUCCUAAGUAAAGAGAGUGGCCUGGGCGUCGGCAGUCAUGACACUCGCCUAGGCCCAGAGAUCACUGGCCUUUCAAGGCCCCACCUGAUAGGAAUGGCUACACCUGGGGGACGUCGCCCCACCACUCGAUGUCCGAAAAAGUACCCCGCCACUACACCCGACUUAGACACCAGCUUGUGCGAACCGUAACACGUACAUAAACACCAUGCACUUCGAGUUUACCAAACUCGAAUGCAACCCAGGACGCAAGUCCAAACCCCGCACUCACGUGCCUAUAUACCGUGGUCUUCCUAUUGGUCAACCUAACCAAUGGUUCAGUUUCAUUUACUUUUCAAAACAACCUGUGAAUGGUGUUGUGGUUGUAACCCUUUGCUCUGAUACCAUUUUAAUCUGUCACGCCCCGGGGUCCCCUUUUUGUUUGAAAUACAGCGGAAAAGCGUUUGAAAAUUUUUUUUGAAAACCUGACCCCAGAGUAUGCCAGAUCCGCCACAAAUACAGGGAAUCCACUGUUCACACGGACAGAGUCUCCCCUGUACUUGCACGGCGUCACACAAGUACAGAAGUACAAACAGUAUACAACCACAAUCAAAUGAAUAUACAGAUAGCUAUACAUUCAUACAUUCUCCAUUCACAUCACAGUGUUACAUUCGAGGUUUAAAGAGAAAUCUACAAAAACCUUUUGAAAGCUGUUUCCUACACAGAAACCUUUAUUCUUUUAAAAACGCUACCACGAGGGGUAGAAAAUCUUUUAUUUUACAAAAUCCAGAAAUCCACCUUUUCAAAUGUAAAUGAUUACUGAACCACAUAAACCAACUAAACUAUAUAUCAACAGAAAUACCGAGGAUAAUAACUAAAUCGAAAUAACCUGGGUCGGAAGCUCUAUCGACCGCUACACACGUACCUCACGUCUCGUCCCACUACUCAUCGCCCGCGAUACCUGAAAAAUGGUGGGGGAGGUGAGAACAUGUAAACAUGUCUCCCCUCCCAGUGGGUACCGCAAGCCGAAGAAGGCGAGGAGUACUCACCGGAUCAGGAAGAGAUGACCAACAGUAUGGGUAAGUAAAAUGCUGUAGCAACGAUAAUGAACGAAUGAGAUAUAUAUAUAUAUGAAAACAUAACUACCGCUACUGUAUGUACAACUGCAAGCAUACAAGGAUAUCAAUACUAUAGUAGCAAGACAACUGUAAAGAAAGAACUAGAAGUACAUAUGCAACAACCGCUACUAUAGCUAUAUGCGUCAACCGGACGAGAAGUCCAAAAGUACCCAAUCUAAACCGCCGUGUCGGUCUAAGGACCUCAGGCAAAAGCCACUAUCUGCUCACACCUGGCAUGUAACCCUAGCACAAAGAGAACACCGCUGGGCUCACGGGUCGGAUGUACGACCACUUUUCCGGAAAAGAACACCCUCCUGCGGGGGAUCAACCCGCUGGUGUACGUGAAAUGCACUCGAGCUGUGGCGAUCAAUGCGGAUAUGAUCAAUAGCCAACCGUCGGCAAUCAGCCGACAAUCACUGCCCCUCUGGGCAUACCGACCGUGUAGGUCAUCAAGCUAUAAAGAAGCACAAGAACUGACCACUCAGGUCAACUAGGAUGGAACGACUCUACAUCCUCUCAAGUGUAUGCAAGUACUGACUAAUCAAGUCAACUGGGAUGGAACGACUCAACAUCCUACCAAAAGUGUGUCGAUACUGAUCAAUAAGUCAACUACUGUAUAUAUGCAAGGAUCAAUCAACAAGUCAUAUGAGUAUAUAAUCUAGAACUACCAUCGGCCAUAACCCGACAAUCCUACCCCUCAGGGUAUACCGACCUCAAAGGUCAUCAAGCAACAAGAAUCCAGAACGGACAGACUAGGUCACAAAAGGUCAAAUGACGGAUCUGUGAAGACUAUAGUCAUCCGUCGACAACUAGUCGACAAUCCCACCCCUCAGGGUAUACCGACCGUAUAGGUCAUCGAACAACAGGAAUCAAGGAACUGAUCAAGUAGGUCACCAUUACGGAAUACCAGAAUCGACCGACUAGGUCACUAACAUCACAGAUGGUCACGGAACCGCUCUACUAUAAACAUGAUAUAAGAUAUGUAGAACCAGCUAGUAGAGCAACAAGAGAACAUGAUAUCAAACACAGAUAGACUACACUCCUACACAUGAUACUAAGCAUGGAAACAUCUGAAUAUAGUAUAAUUAAACAACGUGGAAGCUAGGCUCAACAUAUAGUAUAAGCAUAGAGACAAUAGUAAGAGGGCAAGGGUAAGAAACCAUCACCGAACGUGCACCACUGUACCGACGUCGGAUCGAAGUACCCACCUGUACAACUGUCGCGCAUGUCUCCUGACUGCAAAGGAACGUCAUCCGGACCUAAGGAGGGUUCACUGGGUUAGUGUCUAACCCACAGCUAAGAAACCGUAAAAGCAUAACCCACAAACAAACCCACGGAGAUCGGUUUUCCCAAAACCAAAUACCGUAACUCGCCGGAAGUCCCAAAAAUCACACCGGGACUCCGCCGGGACCCACUAACUGUCCCGAAAGGCACCGACUCAUGUCACGAGUCAUUCGCUGCCACUAAACACUUAUUUUAGUGUGACAUGGCAGCAAACACAAGGAUACACAACCAAACAACUAUUGGUGGGUAAUUGUUGGGAUCCGGGUUCCCGGAAGUGUCUAUUUCGACACCGAAACCCACCGUCGCCCAUCCGUCAUUUCUGAACUCUUGAAAUGACGCGAGUGACCAGCCAAUAAGGCUCAGCGACUACACAAUAGCUCACGAAGCACCGUCGGAAUAAUUCCGAACCAAAACCGCGUUCCGUAGGCAGAUUUUGCCGACAAACGCACCCGAAAAUACAUUUUCGGUCUUCGCAAAGGUCCGGGGCCUUGGACAAUCAGUCCAGAGGUCACCCCCAGCUCACCCAUGCUGCCAACAACAGCCACGACAAAUCACAUUGCAUAAAAGCCCUUUCGAUUCCAAGGAAUCACAUUAUUUCAUGUGUUUUUCGGGCUUUUAUGGUCCGUCUACGCAAACCAGAGGUCAAUCAGCCGAGCUAAGAUACCUAUUUACAGGUUUCGACGUGCCGGAGGCCGUGCUCACCUUUCGGAGCACUGCCGACCACAAGGGAAAGCGCACAAGCAGUGUGAACUUCAGCAAAACAGCGCGCACUGUCACUUAGUCGCGUCAAACACGCAAACCGGGGAACCGUUGACCCCGACGGAGGUGAGCACGAUGUUCAGCACGAAGUAAGGAUCAUCGUGCUCACUUCCCGGAUUAUCGGAGUGUCCUCAGAUCACCAGAAAGGUGACAGGAACUCUAAACUACAGUGCUGUCAACGUAAACAGUGCUUACCGGACCAGUGGGAGCUAGGGCUCGUCGCCGGCGAUCGGGCGGCGGGCACUCCGGCCAGUGAUGGAAGCAGCAGGUCGGGGAGGUCCGGGGAAGGUGCUGGCCGGCGGCGGGAGGUGGCCGGUGGCGCGGCAGCGCAGCUCAAAGCCGCCGAGUUCCUCUCGGGUUCGAGUUUCCCGGCGGCGCGGCGGCGGCCGGAGGGGGUCGGGGCUGCAAGGAUCCGGUGCCGGAGACCGAGGGGAAGGUGGUGUACCCCUCGGUGGGCUGUGGCGGUGCUUGGGAGCCGAGCGGGCCCGACCUCGGCCCGCCCGGGUCUGGGCGGCUACAAGAGCCUCGGGCGGCGGCCGGCGGUGGUCGAGGGUGGCCGGGGACGCGCGCCGGAGGUAGUCGGAGGGUGAGGAAAGACGGCGCGGCCGAUCUGGAGUGGCGGCGGCGCGUGGCCCUCGAGCCCACCCGAGCUCGGUCUGGGCUGACCGAGGUGGCCGCAGGGAGCAGAGGCGGCGCCGGCGGCGCACGGGAGCGGCAGGGGCCGGCUGCGGUGGUCGCCGGACGGUCGGCGGAGACCUCCGCGGCCGUCGGGAAGCGACGGCAGGGCUAGGGGGCGGCGCGGCUCCAAGGUUGGCCCGGCUCGGACUGGGCUGACCCGGGCUGGCCGUAGCUCCCCCCAGGCGGCUCCGGCGGCGCGCGCGGGCGGCGACGGCCGGCGGGGAGGCUCGUCAGGGGACAGGGGCAACACCAGCGAUGGCCUGGAGGCAAGGCAGCCUCGGCCUGGCUCCAACCCGAGAGAGGGAGAGAGAGAGAGAGAGAGAGAGAGAGGCAGAAAAAGGUUCCGGCGGCGGCUGGCCGGCCGGGGCUCAGUCGGCGGCGGCCUGGGCGUGCGCAACAGGGCAGGGAAGAGGGAUGAAUGUGGCAGGGGGGCUAGGGUUAGGGUUUCUAGUAGCAAACCCUAAAACACCUUUGUAUACCUAGCUCCAAAAUGCGGAAAAGCCCCUCGAACUUCAGUAUUUGGUACUAAGUCCCAUACAGCGCGUGUAAAACGCGAGAAUACCCCUCCACGUGCGAUCCCUCGUAAAACGGUACAUAAAAUAUUGCGACUUUUGCGAAAAUACCGUUUUUGCCACUACCGACCUCUCCUCGAACAACGCGCGAUUUCCGCAGAUCCGUCCGUCAGAUUUGCGAACGGAUUGCACCAGUGCGAUCAGCACGACGGAGACAACAAAGCUACGAUUUUGGUUCACCUCGAUCGACCACGGAUUCGCGACGAAAUCCAACCUUCUUCCAAUAGGAGGAAUAACACACAAAUACAUAUAAA
RNAcentral lists this long non-coding RNA (6996 nucleotides) under Ananas comosus (pineapple). RNAcentral describes it as "long non-coding RNA (ACOM_LNC003885)". The record is from RNAcentral. Lineage: Eukaryota; Viridiplantae; Streptophyta; Magnoliopsida; Poales; Bromeliaceae.